RNAcentral lists this ribosomal RNA (460 nucleotides) under uncultured bacterium. RNAcentral's name for it is "partial 16S ribosomal RNA". It matches the Rfam family "Bacterial small subunit ribosomal RNA", at positions 338 to 795 of the family's 1533-position model. The record is from RNAcentral.
CCUACGGGAGGCAGCAGUGAGGAAUAUUGGUCAAUGGACGAGAGUCUGAACCAGCCAAGUAGCGUGAAGGAUGACUGCCCUAUGGGUUGUAAACUUCUUUUAUAUGGGAAUAAAAUGUUCCACGUGUGGGAUUCUGUAUGUACCAUAUGAAUAAGGAUCGGCUAACUCCGUGCCAGCAGCCGCGGUAAUACGGAGGAUCCGAGCGUUAUCCGGAUUUAUUGGGUUUAAAGGGUGCGUAGGUGGAUUGUUAAGUCAGUUGUGAAAGUUUGCGGCUCAACCGUAGAAUUGCAGUUGAUACUGGCAGUCUUGAGUACAGUAGAGGUAGGCGGAAUUCGUGGUGUAGCGGUGAAAUGCUUAGAUAUCACGAAGAACUCCGAUUGCGAAGGCAGCUCACUGGACUACAACUGACGCUGAGGCUCGAAAGUGUGGGUAUCAAACAGGAUUAGAUACCCGGGUAGUC